RNA transcript from Egretta garzetta (little egret), 1924 nucleotides. It is a transcript of the gene named muscleblind like splicing regulator 1, with no coding region annotated. The transcript has 7 exons. The record is from RefSeq and is a predicted model, not a curated record. NCBI's taxonomy places the organism in Eukaryota, Metazoa, Chordata, Aves, Pelecaniformes, Ardeidae.
UAAUUAGCCCCGCGCGCUGCCGGCGGAGGCGGUGGCUGCGCUGCCAGAGCACUGCAGCACGCGCUGACGCACCCCGCGCACCAGGCCCCCCAGGUUGGUACUAAGAAGUGCCUUUCCUGACGUCUCUGCUGCUUGGGACCGCUUCUAGAGCAGCCGCUGCUUUUUGCCUUGCUUGCUGCCAGCUAGACUGCGACGACAGCGCAUCCGCCCGCCACCUCUAGCCAGACACCCCCACUGCCACCCAAAACCGAGAGAAAGGCGCUAUCGGGCCUUGCCGUAGGCUGCUUUACUGUAAAAAUAAAAGUUUGCUGAGAAGGUCAGAUAUCUUCUGCCCGAAAAUCAAGGAGAGGAGGAAAAAAAAAAAAAAAAAAAAAAAAUCCAGUCUCGAUCGUUGCUCUAAACUGCUGCAUCUGUCUAUGCCAAACUAAUCGAUACCGAUUGCACCACAAAACCCCGUUGCAAAUUCAGCUGCGUGGAGAUUACCUUUCAGACAACUUUACUGAAAGCAGCUUGGAAAUCCCGUGUCAGAGGGUCUGCCACGUUUUCAUGCUUGCAUUGUGGGCUCCGGUUGGCACUCAGGAUGGGUAACUGAGCGCACGAGGCUAGUCCCGGGCCACACUUUUUAACGUUCACCUUGCUGGUAAUCCUAGCAUUUCUCUAAGUACGCAACCUCUGUCAAUUAACAGUGUCACGCUGCGAACUCCUGGUGGCACGUCUUUUCCUUGAGAUUGUGGCCACCCAAUUUUACACGUACUUUUAAAAUAGGGAGCGGGGGGAAAAAAAAAAAAAGUAAUCUGGAGGUGGCACUUUCAUCAUUUCCAGUUUAUCAGUUCAGCUACUCGUUUGUCCGUUUCAUUGGAAAUUUUAACUACCUGUAAAAUCUAAAGAUGGCUGUUAGUGUCACGCCGAUUCGGGACACAAAAUGGCUAACGCUGGAAGUGUGUAGGGAGUUCCAAAGAGGGACUUGCUCACGACCAGACACGGAAUGUAAAUUUGCACACCCAUCGAAAAGCUGCCAAGUUGAAAACGGACGCGUAAUCGCCUGCUUUGAUUCAUUGAAAGGUCGAUGUUCAAGGGAAAACUGCAAAUAUCUUCACCCACCACCACACUUAAAAACGCAGCUGGAGAUAAAUGGACGCAAUAACCUGAUUCAGCAGAAGAAUAUGGCCAUGCUGGCCCAGCAGAUGCAGCUUGCCAAUGCCAUGAUGCCUGGUGCCCCGUUGCAGCCUGUGCCGAUGUUUUCCGUUGCACCGAGCUUAGCCACCAACGCAUCAGCUGCCUUCAACCCCUAUCUGGGGCCCGUCUCCCCAGGCCUGGUCCCAGCGGAGAUCCUGCCCACUGCCCCGAUGCUGGUGACAGGGAACCCUGGUGUCCCGGUUCCUGCUGCUGCCGCUGCUGCUGCCCAAAAGCUAAUGAGGACAGACAGGCUGGAGGUAUGUCGAGAGUACCAGCGUGGCAACUGCAACAGGGGAGAGAACGACUGUCGUUUCGCUCACCCCGCUGACAGCGCAAUGAUCGACACCAACGACAACACAGUCACUGUCUGCAUGGAUUACAUCAAAGGGAGAUGCUCACGGGAAAAGUGCAAAUAUUUUCACCCUCCUGCACAUCUGCAAGCCAAGAUCAAGGCUGCCCAGUACCAGGUUAACCAAGCUGCAGCUUAAGCGACUGCAGCUGCCAUGGGACUUCCUCAAGCUGUACUUCCCCCAUUACCAAAGAGGCCUGCGCUUGAAAAAACCAAUGGUGCCACUGCAGUCUUUAACACUGGUAUUUUCCAAUACCAGCAAGCUCUUGCCAACAUGCAGUUACAGCAGCAUACAGCCUUUCUCCCACCAGUUCCCAUGGUGCACGGUGCUACGCCAGCCACUGUGUCUGCAGCAACAACAUCUGCCACAAGUGUUCCCUUCGCUGCAACAGCCACAGC